GCUAAACGAAAAGGUAGAGUGAUUUGGAGAGGUGUGGUGUGUGGAAUUCACGUUGUAAUUGGUCGGACACAGUGAAUGAGCAUGUGUUUGUUGGAAAUUGACGUGUGUCCGCCACAUCCAACUCAUGCGUGCCUCGUGGGACCAAACAUAUUCUAGGUAGUUACUCCAAUUGCUUGACACAAGGCAAACCCCAUCCCAUCAGGAUACAAAAGAGAAUUGGGAAGAUAGUUGUGGGGGGCCUUUGUGACAGAUGGUUCACGGAUACACCACAAAGGAUAUGUUGGAAAUUGGAAUAUAGGUUAACUUAAUUCUAUAGUGCACAACUAAAAUAGUGUGAUAUACUCUUACCAUUAAAUCAAUAAAUUUAAUUCACUCUUCUUUUAAAGGUUGAUUUAUUGAGACUUAAAUUCGUGCAUAAUGUAACACUUAUUUCAAAUGUGUAAUGUAGAACUGGUAUAGUUACUUUUCA
Vicia villosa (hairy vetch) is the source of this 469-nucleotide long non-coding RNA. RefSeq lists it as uncharacterized. Lineage: Eukaryota; Viridiplantae; Streptophyta; Magnoliopsida; Fabales; Fabaceae. The transcript is spliced from 2 exons. The record is from RefSeq and is a predicted model, not a curated record.